RNAcentral lists this ribosomal RNA (238 nucleotides) under uncultured bacterium. Its description in RNAcentral is "partial 16S ribosomal RNA". It matches the Rfam family "Bacterial small subunit ribosomal RNA", at positions 99 to 334 of the family's 1533-position model. The record is from RNAcentral.
CGCACGGGUGAGUAACACGUAAGUAAUCUACCUUUGGGUGGGGAAUAACUCAAGGAAACUUGAGCUAAUACCGCAUAAUGCAGCGGCUCCUUCGGGAGACAGUUGUUAAAGCAUUUAUGCGCCUAAAGAGGAGCUUGCGGCAGAUUAGCUAGUUGGUAAGGUAACGGCUUACCAAGGCUACGAUCUGUAGCCGGCCUGAGAGGGCGGUCGGUCACACUGACACUGAAUAACGGGUCAG